Molecule: ribosomal RNA, 400 nt
Filed under: phytoplankton environmental sample
Lineage: Eukaryota
Description: partial small subunit ribosomal RNA
Rfam family: Eukaryotic small subunit ribosomal RNA
Source: RNAcentral
AGCUCCAAUAGCGUAUAUUAAAGUUGUUGCAGUUAAAAAGCUCGUAGUUGGACAUCUGGUGGGAGCGAUCGGUCCGACGCUUGGCGUGGGUACUCGCAUCGUCUCCGGCCAUCCUUGGAGAGAGCCUGUCUGGCAUUAGGUUGUCGGGCAGGGGAUCCCCAUCGUUUACUGUGAAAAAAUUAGAGUGUUCAAAGCAGGCUUAUGCCGUUGAAUACAUUAGCAUGGAAUAAUAAGAUAGGACUUUGGUACUAUUUUGUUGGUUUGUGCACCGAAGUAAUGAUUAAUAGGGACAGUUGGGGGUAUUCGUAUUGCGUAGUCAGAGGUGAAAUUCUUGGAUUUACGCAAGACGGACUACUGCGAAAGCAUUUACCAAGGAUGUUUUCAUUAAUCAAGAACGAAA